This 481-nucleotide long non-coding RNA is filed under the name Homo sapiens (human). RNAcentral describes it as "long non-coding RNA NONHSAT191261". Lineage: Eukaryota; Metazoa; Chordata; Mammalia; Primates; Hominidae. The record is from RNAcentral.
GACGCUUUCUUCCCUCUGGGAGGAAUCCCGGAGCGAUGGGACGAGGCUCUCCCGCCCGCCGGGCUCCAGGAUGCCGCGGCUCUCCCAGCUCCGGCUUGGGCCCCUCCGGCGGUGCCCGGCCGGUACCGUGAAGCCGCCGCUCGGCCUUCGGUGUAGUUGCCCCGGACACGGCGGGACGCCCUCCCCGGGUAUUCGGUACCCACGUGCAUUUUGCUGCCGCCGAUCUCCGUUCGAUGCGAAGCUUCGCAACUCCGAGUUCGCGAGGCGCAUCUGAGGUUCCCCCAAUGAAGUUAGCAAAGCAGUGUCCCGUGCAGGUCGUUUUUCCUGUUUCUCACAGCGUUAACUAGGUUGACAGAACCUGGUAGCUGAAAAGGCCUCGCUGCUAAGCCCUCUGAUUAUUCGAGGUUGGGGGACGAAGGAGGAGGACUAGAAUGCCGGCAAAUCUCUUUCCUUCAGGUGCCACUAACCCAAUCAACUAUAG